AGUGAUAGAGGUUGCGUGUUUCAUGAGUAGCCGGAGGGACGUGUUCAGGCACGGGAGAAUUCCGGUAAAGGGGGAAUGCGCCGAAAGGAUGCAGAUCCUGAAGCUGUUUUCUUGGGUGUAUGGUGAAUAAUCAUGCAACUGUCAUCAGUCUUCGGGGGCAUCCCGGAUUGAUGGAGCGCUAUCCG
This 185-nucleotide non-coding RNA is filed under the name bovine gut metagenome. RNAcentral's name for it is "Lysine riboswitch". It matches the Rfam family "Lysine riboswitch aptamer". From Rfam's summary of the family: Riboswitches are metabolite binding domains within certain messenger RNAs that serve as precision sensors for their corresponding targets. The record is from RNAcentral.